RNAcentral lists this unclassified non-coding RNA (234 nucleotides) under uncultured fungus. RNAcentral describes it as "sequence contains 5.8S rRNA gene". The record is from RNAcentral. Lineage: Eukaryota; Fungi.
GAACGCAUAUUGCGCCCUUUGGCAUUCCGAAGGGCAUACCUGUUCGAGCGUCAUUACACCCCUCAAACAUAACUGUUUGAUGUUGGGCGAUGCCUGGAGGCAUGCCUAAAAUUUAGCGACGGUACAUUAAACCUCCAGCGCACAGAUGUCGUUAUGUGGGCGAGAUGGCACCGGUCUCUUAUGAAUUUCUGAAUGUUGACCUCGGAUCAGGUAGGGAUACCCGCUGAACUUAAG